This 466-nucleotide ribosomal RNA is filed under the name uncultured bacterium. RNAcentral describes it as "partial 16S ribosomal RNA". It matches the Rfam family "Bacterial small subunit ribosomal RNA", at positions 28 to 507 of the family's 1533-position model. The record is from RNAcentral.
GAUGAACGCUGGCGGCGUGCUUAACACAUGCAAGUCGAACGGAAAGGCUCCUGCUUGCUGGGGUACUCGAGUGGCGAACGGGUGAGUAACACGUGGGUGAUCUGCCCUGCACUUCGGGAUAAGCCUGGGAAACUGGGUCUAAUACCGGAUAGGACGAUGGUUUGGAUGCCAAUGUGGAAAGUUUUUUCGGUGUGGGAUGAGCUCGCGGCCUAUCAGCUUGUUGGUGGGGUAAUGGCCUACCAAGGCGUCGACGGGUAGCCGGCCUGAGAGGGUGUACGGCCACAUUGGGACUGAGAUACGGCCCAGACUCCUACGGGAGGCAGCAGUGGGGAAUAUUGCACAAUGGGCGCAAGCCUGAUGCAGCGACGCCGCGUGGGGGAUGACGGCCUUCGGGUUGUAAACUCCUUUCGCUAGGGACGAAGCGCAAGUGACGGUACCUGGAGAAGAAGCACCGGCUAACUACGUG